Molecule: long non-coding RNA, 924 nt
Organism: Carassius gibelio (silver crucian carp)
Lineage: Eukaryota; Metazoa; Chordata; Actinopteri; Cypriniformes; Cyprinidae
Exons: 2
Source: RefSeq, a predicted model, not a curated record
CACCCACCCGUCACACAGCUUCUUCAGCCUGCUGCCAUCAGGGAGGAGACUGCAGAGUCUCCAGGCCAAGACCAGCAGACUGAAGGACAGCUUCAUCCACCAGGCUGUCAGGAAGCUGAACUCACUCCCGAACUUGCCCCCCCUUCCCUCUUCUGCCCAGGCACCACUGAACUAUGAUUAUCUGUCAUCUCUUUUAGAAGAAAACAAACAUAAACCCAGGUCACCGUAGCCACCAGAUCCAGUCUGUAUCCAGAUCAUAUGGUCACUCCAGUCACCCGGAUCCAGUACGUAUCCAGAACAGAUUGUGGAUCAGCACCUAGAGAGGACCUCUACAGCCCUGAAUGUUAGCAGAGACCAGGACAACUAUAUGAGCUACAGAGACAGAUCCACAGUAAAGACCUUGUCUCCUAGAUGGCCACCGGGACAAAACCACAGGAAAGAGAUGUUUCUUCUGCACAAUCUUACUUUGCUGCAGCCUAGAAUUGAACUGCUGGUUUCAUCUGGUCAGAAGAGAACUGUAUCACUAAGAAUGAACUCCAGCCAGUAAAAGUGUGUUUUGCAUGUCGUCCCCUUGGAAUUACAAGGUUCUAUCUGCGUUCUGAGUAGUUUUGAGAUAUUGAGCUUUAAAAUUUUUGUGUUCCAUAGACUUCUGUAGAUAGAACUUUUUUGUUUUUUCAAUAAAAAAUCCCAAGAUGUACACAACUUAAAAUAAAACAUCACAUAAUGUAAAUAAAUUUUCACAGAAUAAGAAAAUGUGAAUAACUCAAUUUUGACAAAAAUGUCAGAUAGAACCUUAUAAUUCCAAGGGGACGAUGUGCUAACAGUGCUGACCUAUUCUUGUUCAAAAUAUACAUAUAUUGCAGGGGUUGGCAAUGUCAUCACAUGGUUAAAAUUACCAUUGAAAUAAAAUGCACAUAAAAAGUG